GACGAACGCUGGCGGCGUGCAUAACACAUGCAAGUCAAGGGGGUCAGUAGCAAUACUGGCAACCGGCGAACGGGUGCGUAACACGUAAGCGACCUACCUCGAUGUGGGGCAUAGCCGGCCUAACGGCCGGGUAAUUCCGCAUAAGAUCCCGAUGAGGCAUCUCAUUGGGAUGAAACCAGUAAUGGGCGUCGAGAGGGGCUUGCGGCCUAUCAGCUAGUUGGUGAGGAACGGCUCACCAAGGCUACGACGGGUAGCUGGUCUGAGAGGAUGGCCAGCCACAUUGGGACUGAGAUACGGCCCAGACUCCUACGGGAGGCAGCAGUGGGGAAUCUUGCGCAAUGGCCUAACGGCUGACGCAGCGACGCCGCGUGAGGGAUGAAGCUUUCGGAGUGUAAACCUCUGUUGCCCGGGACGAUAGCGGAUUAUUCCGCUUGACGGUACCGGGUGAGGAAGCACCGCUAACUCGUGCCAGCAGCCGCCGCAGUA
Molecule: ribosomal RNA, 486 nt
Filed under: uncultured bacterium
Lineage: Bacteria
Description: bacterial SSU rRNA
Rfam family: Bacterial small subunit ribosomal RNA
Source: RNAcentral